AGAGUUUGAUCCUGGCUCAGGAUGAACGCUGGCGGCGUGCCUAACACAUGCAAGUCGAACGGACCUGAUACGAUGAUCUUUUCGGAGAGAAUUGUUGAAAGGUUAGUGGCGGACGGGUGAGUAACGCGUGGGCAACCUGCCCCGUACCGGGGGAUAGCAGCUGGAAACGGCUGGUAAAACCGCAUAAGCGCACGGUACUGCAUGGUACAGUGUGAAGAACUCCGGUGGUACGGGAUGGGCCCGCGUCCGAUUAGCCAGUUGGCGGGGUAAUAGCCCACCAAAGCGACGAUCGGUAGCCGGCCUGAGAGGGCGGACGGCCACAUUGGGACUGAGACACGGUCCAGACUCCUACGGGAGGCAGCAGUGGGGGAUAUUGCACAAUGGGGGGAACCCUGAUGCAGCGACGCCGCGUGGGUGAAGAAGUAUUUCGGUAUGUAAAGCCCUAUCAGCAGGGACGAUAAUGACGGUACCUGAGUAAGAAGCCCCGGCUAACUACGUGCCAGCAGCCGCGGUAAUACGUAGGGGGCAAGCGUUAUCCGGAUUUACUGGGUGUAAAGGGGGCGCAGACGGAUACACAAGCCAGAUGUGAAAGCUCAGAGCUCAGCGCUGAGAGUGCAUUUGGAACUGUGGAUCUAGAGUACUGGAGAGGUAAGCGGAAUUUCUGGUGUAGCGGUGAAAUGCGUAGAUAUCAGGAAGAACACCGGUGGCGAAGGCGGCUUACUGGACAGAGACUGACGUUGAGGCCCGAAAGCGUGGGGAGCAAACAAGAUUAGAUACCCUGGUAGUCCACGCGGUAAACGAUCUAUACCAGGUGCUGGCGUGCAAAGCACGUCCGUGCCGGGGCAAAC
RNAcentral lists this ribosomal RNA (848 nucleotides) under uncultured bacterium. RNAcentral's name for it is "bacterial SSU rRNA". It matches the Rfam family "Bacterial small subunit ribosomal RNA", at positions 8 to 856 of the family's 1533-position model. The record is from RNAcentral.